UCCGUAGGUGAACCUGCGGAGGGAUCAUUACUGAGUUUACGCUCUAUAACCCUUUGUGAACAUACCUAUAACUGUUGCUUCGGCGGGCAGGGUCUCCGCGACCCUCCCGGCCUCCCGCCUCCGGGCGGGUCGGCGCCCGCCGGAGGAUAACCAAACUCUGAUUUAACGACGUUUCUUCUGAGUGGUACAAGCAAAUAAUCAAAACUUUUAACAACGGAUCUCUUGGUUCUGGCAUCGAUGAAGAACGCAGCGAAAUGCGAUAAGUAAUGUGAAUUGCAGAAUUCAGUGAAUCAUCGAAUCUUUGAACGCACAUUGCGCCCGCCAGCAUUCUGGCGGGCAUGCCUGUUCGAGCGUCAUUUCAACCCUCAAGCUCUGCUUGGUGUUGGGGCCCUACAGCUGAUGUAGGCCCUCAAAGGUAGUGGCGGACCCUCCCGGAGCCUCCUUUGCGUAGUAACUUUACGUCUCGCACUGGGAUCCGGAGGGACUCUUGCCGUAAAACCCCCCAAUUUUCCAAAGGUUGACCUCGGAUCAGGUAGGAAUACCCGCUGAACUUAAGCAUAUCAAUAAGCGGAGGA
Molecule: ribosomal RNA, 575 nt
Filed under: Colletotrichum gloeosporioides
Lineage: Eukaryota; Fungi; Ascomycota; Sordariomycetes; Glomerellales; Glomerellaceae
Description: eukaryotic LSU rRNA
Rfam family: 5.8S ribosomal RNA (bases 203-356)
Source: RNAcentral